AAUGAUACAAGUUAAUAACUAUUUGGUCCAUGGUCCAUGCAUGUACCAUGGCUACAGAGAUGCCACUCCUUAUAGCUUUCGUGUGUGGGGAAACUGUGGUACAGCCUCACGCGUUGAGCUGCCCCUAACCUAACGAUCCAGACUCCUCCGACUUCACCCAGAGAUCGACGUGGUACAGUUCCGUCCACCUUGUGGUGUAAAUGGCUUCCACUAUCACUUCUUAUCGCUCCGGCCAAGACAACAAAAAGCUUCUCCUGAACAGAAUCAGAGCCAUCCAAUAGGGCCUUCUACGACCAACACAAUACUCGCAACCUCAUUGGCUACGUGCCAACGCGACCCGUUUGAAGGCAAUAGCGAAUCGAUCGAGCAACUGUGGCGCUGUCAAUUCGAACCCGACCGUUCCUGCGACGAGGAGAGAAGACUUCGAGCUGAGGAGGGGAUCGAGUGGAGGGGUGGGAGGCGUUAACGUGUGGCGUUCCCUCACCAAGUAAAGCCCACAAUUGACCGAAGCAUGAGAACGGGAUUCAAAGCACGAAGGCGGAAGUCCGUUUCUCCUGCUGUCACGAACACCUCGCUGCUGCAUUCUCCUCGGUCGUCCUCGGCCUCUUCCUCGUCCUCGUUGGAUCCACAUCAACUGACUGUGGCUCAC
This 649-nucleotide long non-coding RNA is filed under the name Musa acuminata (dwarf banana). RNAcentral describes it as "long non-coding RNA (MACU_LNC004442)". Lineage: Eukaryota; Viridiplantae; Streptophyta; Magnoliopsida; Zingiberales; Musaceae. The record is from RNAcentral.